UAACGAAUCUUGGGCAAUGGGCGAAAGCCUGACCCAGCAAUGCCGCGUGCAGGAGGAAGUCCUUCGGGAUGUAAACUGCUGUCAGGGGUUCACAAGCCUAGGACUUAAUACGUCUGACGGUUGAGUCGCCCCAGAGGAAGCCACGACUAACUCUGUGCCAGCAGUCGCGGUAAUACAGAGGUGGCAAGCGUUGUUCGGAAUCACUGGGCUUAAAGCGCGUGUAGGCGGCCCGGUUAGUGUCUUGUGAAAU
RNAcentral lists this ribosomal RNA (250 nucleotides) under uncultured bacterium. RNAcentral's name for it is "partial 16S ribosomal RNA". It matches the Rfam family "Bacterial small subunit ribosomal RNA", at positions 355 to 600 of the family's 1533-position model. The record is from RNAcentral.